AAGUCGUAACAAGGUUUCCGUAGGUGAACCUGCGGAAGGAUCAUUACCUAGAGUUGUAGGGUUACAACUUUCAACAACGGAUCUCUUGGUUCUG
Molecule: unclassified non-coding RNA, 94 nt
Filed under: fungal sp.
Lineage: Eukaryota; Fungi
Description: partial internal transcribed spacer region
Rfam family: Eukaryotic small subunit ribosomal RNA (bases 1-46)
Source: RNAcentral